Molecule: ribosomal RNA, 334 nt
Filed under: Erginus sybariticus
Lineage: Eukaryota; Metazoa; Mollusca; Gastropoda; Acmaeidae
Description: partial small subunit ribosomal RNA
Source: RNAcentral
UAAUUCAACUAGGGGAACCUGUCCUCUAACUCGAUAAUCCACGAAAACCUUACCUGUACUAGAAACAGGGGUAAUUCUUUACCCCACAUCAGCCUGUAUACCAUCGUCGUCAGCUAGUGUAUAAAAAAAUAAAAACCAGCAAAAAAGAAUUGCUUUCUUUCUAUAGUACCUUAAAACCUCUUAAGACAGAUCAAGGUGCAGCCUACGAACAGGGGCGAGAUGGGUUACAAUUUUCUAAAUUAAACUGGAUCUUUCUAUUGCAACUGGAAAAAGAAAUAGUACUUAGAAGUAAUUUUUUUAAAAAGUAAAAAAAUGAAUAGGAGAUAAAGCGCGU